GACGAACGCUGGCGGCGUGCCUAAUACAUGCAAGUCGAGCGAACAGACGAGGAGCUUGUUCCUCUGACGUUAGCGGCGGACGGGUGAGUAACACGUGGAUAACCUACCUAUAAGACUGGGAUAACUUCGGGAAACCGGAGCUAAUACCGGAUAAUAUAUUUAACCGCAUGGUUCAAUAGUGAAAGACGGUUUUGCUUUCACUUAUAGUUGGAUCCGGGCCGCAUAAGCUAGUUGGUAAGGUAACGGCUUACCAAGCGAACGAUGAUUAGCCGACCUGAGAGGGUGAUCGGCCACACUGGAACUGGAAAACGGUCCAAACUCCUACGGGAGGAGGCGGUAGGGAAUCUUCGGCAUUGAGCGAAGGCCUAACGGGGCAACGCCGCGGGAGUGAUAAGGGUCUUCGGAUCGUAAAACUCUGUUAUUGGGAAGAAACAAAUGUGUAAGUAACUAUGCACGUCUUGACGGUACCUAAUCAGAAAGCCACGGCUAACUACGUG
This 497-nucleotide ribosomal RNA is filed under the name uncultured bacterium. RNAcentral's name for it is "partial 16S ribosomal RNA". It matches the Rfam family "Bacterial small subunit ribosomal RNA", at positions 28 to 507 of the family's 1533-position model. The record is from RNAcentral.